CCUACGGGGUGCAGCAGUGGGGAAUAUUGGACGAUGGGCGAAAGCCUGAUCCAGCCAUGCCGCGUGUGUGAAGAAGGCCUUCGGGUUGUAAAGCACUUUCAGUGGGGAAGAAAGCCUUGGGGCUAAUACCCUCGAGGAAGGACAUCACCCACAGAAGAAGCACCGGCUAACUCCGUGCCAGCAGCCGCGGUAAUACGGAGGGUGCGAGCGUUAAUCGGAAUUACUGGGCGUAAAGCGCGCGUAGGCGGUCUGAUAAGCCGGUUGUGAAAGCCCCGGGCUCAACCUGGGAACGGCAUCCGGAACUGUCAGGCUAGAGUGCAGGAGAGGAAGGUAGAAUUCCCGGUGUAGCGGUGAAAUGCGUAGAGAUCGGGAGGAAUACCAGUGGCGAAGGCGGCCUUCUGGACUGACACUGACGCUGAGGUGCGAAAGCGUGGGUAGCAAACAGGAUUAGAUACCCGAGUAGUC
This 465-nucleotide ribosomal RNA is filed under the name Vreelandella stevensii. Its description in RNAcentral is "partial 16S ribosomal RNA". It matches the Rfam family "Bacterial small subunit ribosomal RNA", at positions 338 to 795 of the family's 1533-position model. Lineage: Bacteria; Pseudomonadati; Pseudomonadota; Gammaproteobacteria; Oceanospirillales; Halomonadaceae. The record is from RNAcentral.